GCCUAGUUCGCUUCGUUGGUAAAGCGUCUGCCUUGUAAGCGCUAGGCCGCGGGUUCGAUUCCCUCCCGGGGCG
RNAcentral lists this transfer RNA (73 nucleotides) under Diaphorina citri (Asian citrus psyllid). It matches the Rfam family "tRNA". From Rfam's summary of the family: Transfer RNA (tRNA) molecules are approximately 80 nucleotides in length. Lineage: Eukaryota; Metazoa; Arthropoda; Insecta; Hemiptera; Psyllidae. The record is from Rfam by way of RNAcentral.